UAGCGGCAGGCUUAACACAUGCAAGUCGAGGGGCAGCGUGGAGUAGCAAUACUCUGACGGCGACCGGCGAAAGGGUGAGUAACGCGUGAGCAACAUGCCCGAUACUGGAGGAUAGUCGAUGGAAACGUCGCGUAAUACUCCGUAACAUAGGGGACCGCAUGAUUCUCUAUUAAUAGAUUUAUCGGUAUCGGAUUGGCUCGCGUACCAUUAGCUAGUUGGCGGGGUAACGGCCCACCAAGGCGACGAUGGUUAGGGGUUCUGAGAGGAAGGUCCCCCACAUUGGAACUGAGACACGGUCCAGACUCCUACGGGAGGCAGCAGUGAGGAAUAUUGGACAAUGGCCGAGAGGCUGAUCCAGCCAUGCCGCGUGCCGGGAGGACGGCCCUAUGGGUUGUAAACCGCUUUUGUUGGGGAGCAAUAAGGGUCACGUGUGACCUGAUGAGAGUACCCAGCGAAUAAGCAUCGGCUAACUCCGUGCCAGCCGCCGC
RNAcentral lists this ribosomal RNA (488 nucleotides) under uncultured bacterium. Its description in RNAcentral is "bacterial SSU rRNA". It matches the Rfam family "Bacterial small subunit ribosomal RNA", at positions 37 to 518 of the family's 1533-position model. The record is from RNAcentral.